RNAcentral lists this ribosomal RNA (355 nucleotides) under Stereum aff. gausapatum 254-285. RNAcentral describes it as "eukaryotic LSU rRNA". The stretch from base 1 to 105 matches the Rfam family "5.8S ribosomal RNA", at positions 50 to 154 of the family's 154-position model. The record is from RNAcentral. Lineage: Eukaryota; Fungi; Basidiomycota; Agaricomycetes; Russulales; Stereaceae.
GAAAUGCGAUAAGUAAUGUGAAUUGCAGAAUUCAGUGAAUCAUCGAAUCUUUGAACGCACCUUGCGCCCUUUGGUAUUCCGAAGGGCACACCUGUUUGAGUGUCGUGAAAUUCUCAACCCUCUUCGCUUUUUUGCGAAGCCCAGGGCUUGGACUUGGAGGCCUUGCCGGCUCUUUUGCUCGGCUCCUCUCAAAUGCAUUAGUGCGUCUCGUUUGCGACGUGCGCCUCGGUGUGAUAAUUAUCUACGCUGUGGCGCGCAUCGCUUCCAUAGAGAGACGGGCUUUCUAACCGUCCGCAAAGGACAAAAUUCAUCGAACUUUGACCUCAAAUCAGGUGGGACUACCCGCUGAACUUAA